GUGUGGAUGUCCUCCUGGCUUAACGGCUUGAAAAGUGCAUCUUCAGCGCUUCAUACUUGCUGCACAUGGUUCAUGCAGAUGUGAACGCAGUAAUCACACUCUGAUGCGGAUCAAAAUAACAAGACCCUUUGGAGGACGUGAUCUCUGAUUCCAGAUCAACUCCAGAGUGUUUACACUUUUUCCAAGAUGCAUGCAAAUGCUGGGAGAUCACAGCGACCAAAGAGUGACCAGAGAAAAGGCAAGGAGGUUUUUUGUUUUGACCAACUUCACCCAGGAACAGCCAGCACCUUCCAGCAAUCACUCGCCAACUAGAAGAGGAAUGGAUAUUUUUUCCUGGUAACCAAUUGUUGCCAGAUUGUUGCUGAUGUGUUUGACUGAGAGCUUAAUUUUUAACAAGAAGAUAACUUGCUGUGUUCGAUUUGGGACACCAAUACCCCAUAAAAAAAAUCAUGCACAAAUAUGUAGUACUUGCACUGUAUAAAUAAUGGAACUGUAAUAAUAGAGUAAUCCAAACGGAGACACACUUUAUACUGUAACCACACCCCAAAUGGGCUAGCACAUGACAGCUAUUGCUUUUUAAGAUAAGUUUGUUCUUUAUAUCAUGAUUGUCCUUACCAGUCAAUGGUUUUUCAUAAAAUUGGGUUUUAUUGCAUUUCACUCCAACCACAAAUCCCAACCUAUUGUUGGUGCUAGUGGAAAAAUCAGCAUUGUUGCUAAAAUAAGGGAUCUUCAUCCUGUGGGAAUGACAUCUGUACCAUACCCGUUCCAUAACAAUCUAUCCAGUUGCCACUGAGUUGUUUUCCCUUCAGUGGACUCCUUUCUUGUACUGCAGGCUCUGUGUAAUGUCAAAUAAAUCACCUUGGGGCUUGAGCUAUGGAUUCCUAACACUCCCACUUUUGUCAGGCAAGCUUGACCUAUUUGGACCUCGGUAAUCUCUGACUCCUUUGUGUCUCUCCUGAUGACACUUUACCUACGGCCUCCUUCUUUGUGAACUGAAACACAAGACAGAGGGGUUAGCCGCUUCACGGCUCCUGCAUUUGCUGGUCUGCUGGAUUUCAAAAAGAAGAGCUAUCUUUGCUCCUCAUAAGUGUAAUGUCCCCAGGUCAAGGCUCUAUAUCAUGUCCAGAUAUGAAAAGACUGUCAGUGGGGCA
Molecule: long non-coding RNA, 1151 nt
Organism: Oreochromis niloticus (Nile tilapia)
Lineage: Eukaryota; Metazoa; Chordata; Actinopteri; Cichliformes; Cichlidae
Exons: 3
Source: RefSeq, a predicted model, not a curated record